RNAcentral lists this non-coding RNA (238 nucleotides) under Bacillus sp. (in: firmicutes). Its description in RNAcentral is "Bacillus sp. T-box sequence". It matches the Rfam family "T-box leader". Rfam says of the family: Uncharged tRNA acts as the effector for transcription antitermination of genes in the T-box leader family. Lineage: Bacteria; Bacillati; Bacillota; Bacilli; Caryophanales; Bacillaceae. The record is from RNAcentral.
UACGAAACGAUGAUAGGGAUAGUAAAUGCAUUCAUACACUUAUUUAAGCGAACUGGAGAUGGUGGAAGUCCGGUAUAAGUGAACGUAUUGAAUAUCACCCUGGAGUUCCGAGUCGAACCCGUUAAUGGUAGUAAACAAGGCGUUACAUUCACGUUACGAAUGCUUGAGAGGAUAAAGAGUGUCUAAUACUUUAUCUAGCCAGGGUGGUACCGCGGGAAAAAGUCUUCUCGUCCCUAUA